GCCAAGAUGGCGGAACCGGCAGACGCGUAGGUCUCAAAAACCUAUGGGGGUAACACUCCAUGAGGGUUCGAGUCCCUCUCUUGGCA
Molecule: transfer RNA, 86 nt
Filed under: Candidatus Gottesmanbacteria bacterium
Lineage: Bacteria; Candidatus Gottesmaniibacteriota
Description: tRNA-Leu
Rfam family: tRNA
About the family: Transfer RNA (tRNA) molecules are approximately 80 nucleotides in length. Their secondary structure includes four short double-helical elements and three loops (D, anti-codon, and T loops).
Source: RNAcentral